This 867-nucleotide long non-coding RNA is filed under the name Sus scrofa (pig). RNAcentral describes it as "lncRNA (ENSSSCG00055008072.1)". The record is from RNAcentral. Lineage: Eukaryota; Metazoa; Chordata; Mammalia; Artiodactyla; Suidae.
CCAGCGCCACCAGGCGGCCGCGCGGCGUCACUGCAGGCGCAGCCACGUCCCGCCCGCCCCGCGCACCCGCGCCGCGCGCCGCGCGCCGUCGAGGUCCCCGCGUCGCCGCCCUCUGCCUUUCGUAACUCGGCGCGGGGUCUGGGUUUGCAGGGCCUUGAAAACGAGCCCCCGGCGCCUUGCGCCCUCUCUUCCGGCGCUCUGGCCGCAGAUUCGGGUAGCGCCGGCCACCGUGGACCAUUUUUCUUUUUUUCCUGCUUCGCGGCGUUCCAGGAUUUUCUCUUCCGGGUCGCUCUGAGGCACGGUCAGGGGUGCCAGCAUUCCCGGUUUGGCAUUGAACCCUCGGACUCUGCAAACACCAUUGAGGGGAAGCCCCCUUUUGCGCGUGCGCCGCGCCUCCUGCGGCCGGGAGCUAAGUCAGGCUGGCAGGGCCAGGUGGCACAUAAGCUCUGCCUCUGGGUUUCUAUUUGGCGUCAUCCGUGUGCAGAGGCGGCUGAGAUUUCGGCAACACAACAGCCUGGCCUUGACUGCAGCUCCAUCCCCAGCUCGAAUGGAGCUCUUACCCACCCCGACCCCAGCUACAGCAUCCGGUGGAUGGGAGGGGCUGGAAUCAUGCAAACUUGUGCAAGAAAACCAUCAUACAUCACAGCGCGUGUCCUCAUCUUUCAACAAACAUGUAGCAUUCGGAUCCAUAGCCUGGGUCGUGGAAGCUACUCCUUCGGUGACAAUCCCCCUCCUUCUAAAUGUGGUGGAGCUGACAUUGUGAUCUGGGGAGGCAGGUCUUCCUUGAAAACAAACAAACACAGAAACAAAAACUACUGCCUGGUGGCCCUCUUCGUCUGCAUUUUUCCCCCUCCAGAGGUUGCCUAG